UCGAACGCGAUUGAGGCUUCGGCCUCAAUUGAGUGGCGAACGGGUGAGUAACACGUGGGUGACCUACCUUCGAAUGGGGGAUAACGUCCCGAAAGGGACGCCAAUACCGCAUAACAUCCUGUCCUUGAAUGGGCGGAGAUCAAAGCCGGGGAUCGCAAGACCUGGCGUUUGUUGAGGGACCCGCGUCCGAUUAGCUAGUUGGUGAGGUAACGGCCCACCAAGGCGACGAUCGGUAGCCGGCCUGAGAGGGCGGACGGCCACACUGGGACUGAGACACGGCCCAGACUCC
Molecule: ribosomal RNA, 289 nt
Filed under: uncultured bacterium
Lineage: Bacteria
Description: partial 16S ribosomal RNA
Rfam family: Bacterial small subunit ribosomal RNA
Source: RNAcentral